RNAcentral lists this ribosomal RNA (302 nucleotides) under uncultured Methanosaeta sp. RNAcentral's name for it is "bacterial SSU rRNA". It matches the Rfam family "Archaeal small subunit ribosomal RNA", at positions 1037 to 1338 of the family's 1478-position model. Lineage: Archaea; Methanobacteriati; Methanobacteriota; Methanomicrobia; Methanotrichales; Methanotrichaceae. The record is from RNAcentral.
GGCAACGAGCGAGACCACGUCCACAGUUGCCAGCAUACCCUCCGGGGUGGAUGGGUACACUGUGGAGACCGCCGCUGCUAAAGCGGAGGAAGGAGUGGGCAACGGUAGGUCAGUAUGCCCCGAAUCUCCCGGGCUACACGCGGGCUACAAUGGUUGGUACAAUGGGCAUCUACCCCGAAAGGGGAAGGAAAUCUCUUAAAGCCAAUCGUAGUUCGGAUCGAGGGCUGCAACUCGCCCUCAUGAAGCUGGAAUCCGUAGUAAUCGCGUUUCAACAGAACGCGGUGAAUACGUCCCUGCUCCUU